RNAcentral lists this ribosomal RNA (1383 nucleotides) under Triticum aestivum (bread wheat). Its description in RNAcentral is "partial small subunit ribosomal RNA". The record is from RNAcentral. Lineage: Eukaryota; Viridiplantae; Streptophyta; Magnoliopsida; Poales; Poaceae.
AUGGAGCUGUUCGCCGUUCCCAUUCUGCUGGCAACCAUGGCCUUGACCUAUCUGGCCUGGACGGCCGCCUCUCGUCGCCGGCGUUCACAGUGCUACCUCCUCGAUUACAUCUGCUACAAACCGCCAGACGACCGCAAGGCGACGACGGAUAUGGGGGUUGCACUGGCCGAGCGUAACAAGCGGCUCGGCGCCCCUGAGUUACGCUACCUCUUCCGCCUAACGUCUCGCGCCGGUCUGGGUGAGCAGACCUACCUCCCCUCUGGCAUCUUGGCCGGCCGCGAGAAGUGCCUCACCCACCAGGACGCGCUCGACGAGAUGGACGCCUUCUUCAUCGACGCCGUCGCCGACCUCUUCGCCAAUACCGGAUUCGGCCCCCGUGACGUGGACGUGCUCGUGGUCAACGUCAACAUGUUCAACCCGGACCCUUGCCUUGCCUCGCGGAUCGGGCACCACUACGGAAUGCGCGAGGACAUUGCGGCGUACAAUGUCUCCGGCAUGGGCUGCAGCGCCACGCUGGUCUCGCUGGAUAUCGUCCAGAACGUCAUGCGGGCACGGUCGCCGCGCCCCGUGCUUGCGCUGGUGCUGUCGACGGAGGUGCUCUCGCCUGGAAACUACCUGGGCACGGACAGGUCCAUGAUGCUGGGACUAUGUCUUUUCCGCUGCGGCGGGGCAGCGGCGCUGCUCACCAGCGACCCCGCGCUUGGUGGACGCGCGAAGAUGAAGCUACGCCGCCUUGUGCGCGCGAACGUCGCCGCCGACGACGAUGCGUACUCCGCCAUCUUUCAGCGCGAGGAUGCAGACAACCUUGUUGGGUUCAGCAUCAACAAGACCCUCCCAAAGGCCGCCGUCCGAGCGUUCGCCGCCAACCUGAAACGCCUCGUCCCUUACAUCCUCCCUGUCAGGGAGCUCGUCCGGCUUGCCACCGACUUUACGUGGCAGAAAAUGCAGCGCCGCCAGCGAGUCAAGAUCGAUGCCAAGUUGAAGACCGGGGUCGACCAUUUCUGCCUCCACUCGGGUGGGGUUGCGGUCAUAGACGCUUUGAAGAAGAACUUCGGGCUCAACGAGGCAGACGUGGAGCCGUCGAGGAUGACGCUGCACCGCUGGGGAAACACGUCGGCCAGCAGCGUGUGGUACGUGCUUGCGUACAUGGAGGCCAAGGAGAGGCUCAAGAGAGAGGACAGGGUGCUCAUGGUGACCUUCGGAUCGGGCUUCAAGUGCAACAGCUGCAUGUGGGAUGUGACUCGGGAUCUGAAGGACAAGGGUGCGUGGGCCGACUGCAUCGAUGAGUACCCGGUGGAGAGCACAGCCAACCCGUCCCUGGACAAGUAUAGCUGGAUGAUGAAUGACAACGCUGAUGACGAUGCCACAUUGCCUCUGUUAUAA